GGCAGUGUGAUAUAGUGGUUUGAAUGUUGGACUACAGCUCUGAGAGACCAAGGUUCAAAUCCUUGCUCAGCCA
Non-coding RNA from Phrynosoma platyrhinos (Desert horned lizard), 73 nucleotides. The record is from the annotation of a GenBank genome assembly. NCBI's taxonomy places the organism in Eukaryota, Metazoa, Chordata, Lepidosauria, Squamata, Phrynosomatidae.